AUUCAGAUAUUUAUUUCCGUCAUGCAAGAAAUAUUGUACAAAUAAACAGUAAAAAUAAAUCGAGAGAAGAAAUAACAGACGUACAAUAAUUCGACUGCAAUAGACGAGGAGUCGCGAAUAAACUAUAAAGUUAACGUGUCAGCGACACCUAAAUAGCUGUAAACAGCAGCAGAUGAAGUUAAAUAAACAGGAUUUAAACAUAUAUAUUUUUUGAAUGAACACAAUUUGGAAAAUGUAAGUCGAAUUGGGGAAGUCAGUUAGGAGAAAAUAGUUAAAUCGAAGAUAAUCAUGAGAAACGAGAGAAAAACAAGAGCGCGUCAGGAGGGGAAAAAUGCUCAAAUCGUCAGCGUCAUGCUCGGGUCGGCACCGUCACAGCUGUCGGGCUUCUGAUUGACAUGACGCUGCCUUGCGGAGAUAAAUUACGGGGAAUUCCCAGCAAACCAUAAUAAGGGAAUUAGUUUUGGAGGUAUAAAUACAUAAUGAAGUUUGGGCAACAGAAUCACAAUACGAGAGGUUAAGUACACGGCGAAGAGAUUUGGGGUAACGUAGCUUGUGGAAGAAUAGUGAAAAUAUUCAAUAACACUGGAAAUGAAUGAUAUGAACAAAUAAGAAAAACAUCACAUUCAGCAAAAUUGUCAUCAAAUACAGGAUUGAUGACCAGUGAAUUAGACUACUGGAUGUUAUAAGCAUUGAGUAUUCACUCUGGAUUGAAGCACAACAUGAGACUUAUCACUAUCGAGAAGGUUCGUAUCGUCAGCGAAUAAUUUGGAAAAUAGAGUGGAGCUACAUGCAAGAUCAUUAAUAUAAAUUAAGAACAGAGCCGGACCCAAGGACGAACCCUGGGGAACCCCAUGGGUCACAGAUUUGAAGAUUGGAAUUACUCUGGCAAUUUUCAGUGAAGAUGGA
Non-coding RNA from Styela clava, 906 nucleotides. The record is from RefSeq and is a predicted model, not a curated record. Lineage: Eukaryota; Metazoa; Chordata; Ascidiacea; Stolidobranchia; Styelidae.